RNAcentral lists this ribosomal RNA (440 nucleotides) under uncultured bacterium. RNAcentral's name for it is "partial 16S ribosomal RNA". It matches the Rfam family "Bacterial small subunit ribosomal RNA", at positions 338 to 795 of the family's 1533-position model. The record is from RNAcentral.
CCUACGGGAGGCAGCAGUGGGGAAUAUUGCACAAUGGGGGAAACCCUGAUGCAGCGACGCCGCGUGAGUGAAGAAGUAAUUCGUUAUGUAAAGCUCUAUCAGCAGGGAAGAAAAUGACGGUACCUGACUAAGAAGCCCCGGCUAACUACGUGCCAGCAGCCGCGGUAAUACGUAGGGGGCAAGCGUUAUCCGGAUUUACUGGGUGUAAAGGGAGCGUAGACGGCAGUGCAAGUCUGGAGUGAAAGGCGGGGGCUCAACCCCCGGACUGCUCUGGAAACUGUACGGCUGGAGUGCAGGAGAGGUAAGUGGAAUUCCUAGUGUAGCGGUGAAAUGCGUGGAUAUUAGGAGGAACACCAGUGGCGAAGGCGGCUUACUGGACUGUAACUGACGUUGAGGCUCGAAAGCGUGGGGAGCAAACAGGAUUAGAUACCCCAGUAGUC